CGUAGGUGGCAAGCGUUGUCCGGAUUUACUGGGCGUAACGUGCGCGCAGGCGGUUGUUUAAGGCGAAUGGGAAAGCCCCCGGCUCAACUGGGGAGGGUCAUUCGAUACUGAUCGACUUGAAGGCAGGAGAGGGAAGUGGAAUUCCGGGUGUAGUGGUGAAAUGCGUAGAUAUCCGGAGGAACACCAGUGGCGAAGGCGACUUCCUGGCCUGUUCUUGACGCUGAGGCGCGAAAGCUGGGGGAGCAAACGGG
RNAcentral lists this ribosomal RNA (251 nucleotides) under uncultured bacterium. RNAcentral describes it as "partial 16S ribosomal RNA". It matches the Rfam family "Bacterial small subunit ribosomal RNA", at positions 526 to 776 of the family's 1533-position model. The record is from RNAcentral.